This is a long non-coding RNA of Alligator mississippiensis (American alligator), 2757 nucleotides long. RefSeq lists it as uncharacterized. The transcript is spliced from 2 exons. The record is from RefSeq and is a predicted model, not a curated record. Lineage: Eukaryota; Metazoa; Chordata; Crocodylia; Alligatoridae.
CUGGCCAGGCGAGCCCCUGUCAGCGCGCUGGAAAGGCGCACGGCGCGAGGAGUGACCCCCAGGACAGGAGAGCACGGCCGCCUCCUGCUUCUGGGGAGCCUUCAGCUUCCCUUCUUAAUCUUCCUUAUCCCUGGGCUGGAGACUUUCCUGAUCCCGACUUCUCCCCCCCCCCCCUUAUUUUUUGGAAGCUGCUAGUAAGUGAAGUAGUCUGAGCUUCUUUUAUUGUUCUUUCGCCUCCCCACUCUCACAAGCAGGGGAGAAACCAGUGCAAUAGGCGCCGGCGGGAAAGGGGGGAGGGGGGGGAAUGAAUCGGAGCUGAAACAGCCACGCACUCUUUAAGAAGGUGGCGGUUUUAAAAGCAUCUGAGAGUCACCGUGGGGCUCAUCCACGCUAAUAGGUUUGCUCCAGGGAGAGAAAGAGCCCAUCGGCUUCCCUCGGCACACAGAGAAGUCCUGCCCAAAAGUUACAUCAGCAGGCGGGAGCCCUUCGGCAAUGCAGGGUGAUGAAAGUGUGCCCAGACUUGGAGCACAGCGCAACCCACGAGCAGGUCCCAGCAAUCUCCUCUACGCUGACUUUCAUGUACUGGAAACAGCAGCGGAUUUGUUUUUCUUCCACCCAGAGCAGGCUAAAACACACACACUCCACCCAAACAAAGGGAACAAUCUUUACCUGUCACCUCUCCCCCCAAACUCUCUCUCUCUCUCUCUCACACGCACACACCCCCAAGCAAAAGGGACAAUCUUUACGUGCCAUCUCUCCCCCCAAACGCACACUCUCUCCCUCCGUCUCACACACACCCUCCACGCAAGCAAAGGGGACAAUCUCUACCUGUCACCUUACUUCCCAAACUCUCUCACAAACGCGCACGCAAAGGGGGACAAUCUCAACCUGUCACCUAUGCCCCCAAAGUCUCUCUCAUCCCGCCCUCCCGAGGAAAGGAGAGAAUCUCCUCCUGUCACUUCUCCCCCAAAACACUCUCUCUCUCUCUCUCACACACACACACACACCCCUGUGCCUGUCCGCUCUCCAGGGGCCCGGCCGGGCGCCUGUGCGGUGACGGUGGCGGGCCGGGGGGGUGGGGCACCCUCUGAUCCCUAGCUCUCCUAGUCUCUCCCCCCCUGUGAAUGCCCUCCCCCCACCCCCUUCUUUCUGUCAUCUUUCUUCAGAAGCGCCUCAGUUGAGCGCAGCCAUGUCUCCAGGCACCCCCAGCCUUUCCCAGAGUGCAACACCACGACCCCGAGAUCAAUGACCACAUACUGUUUACUCUUAAUCCCAGCAGGACUACAAUUGAGGCUGGCGGCUGGCUCGGCGGCGGGGCGUGCGCUUGCUGCGCGUGUGGAUGAUUUCCCCCGCUCCGCUCUCCCUUUCGGGCUGGGCUAAGCCCCACUUCGCAGACAAGCCGACUUCUGGCCGCCCGCGCACGCCACUCCCGAUGCAUUCACGGGGCGGGGGGGAGACAGAGAGAGACAUCUUCAGAUCUACACCCUGGAGCUGCGGGAGGGGAAAAGAGGCGAUCCGCGUCCUUUUUUAUUACUCAACACUUGGACUGGAAAGGAAAGACUCAGCAGAGACAUAAAAAAGGGAGAUAUGCGUUGGGACAUGCCAGGCUGGCUGGAUCAUUGCCCUACUGAUGACUUUUGUGUGUCCUCCACCUUCUGCUAGGCCUCUGACCCUGUCCAUCAUACUCUGCACCUUUGCUGAAGCAGACGGAGGAGAAAGGACAUGUGAGGAAGAAAAUCAUCAAGGUCUGCUGCAUGUAAAGAUGACAAAUCAUGUCCCUGUCAUGAACCCCAUUAUGAUUUGUGGGUUUGUGCGGUAUUGUGCAGGUUUUCUUGUCAGUUUAUUUCAUUGAUACAGUGUGUGUGAUCUCAUUGAAAAGCCCAUGUUAUGUUGUUUCCAUUUAUGUCACCUUCAUCACUGUAUAAAUUAUGUGAUGCUGUCUGAAUAUAUAUUUAUGGUUUUGGACAUGGUUUAGUUCAGAGGUUGGCAAUGUUUUUGGGCAGAAUGCCAAAAACACCCAGAACCUCAAUGUGUAAGAUGUUGGCAUGCCAGGGGUGGAUGGUGGAGGGGCUGCAAGGGGCCCAGUCCUUGUUGUGGCAGCAGAGCCCCGGCCCCUUCCCCACUAUCUGCCCUAAGGUGCAUGUGCCAAGCAAAAUGCCUUUACGUGCCACACUGGCACUUGUGCCAAAGGUUGCCUACCACUGGUUUAGUCAGAGGAACUGAGGAUGCACACUUAAGGAAAAAGAGAGUAAGUGAAACUGCUAAGUGUCUUUUGUCAUUGUGUCACUAGGGCAGAGACAACUGCUAUACCCAGUCACAAAUAAAAGGAGACAUUGGGUUGGGCUUCCAAUGGGAAAAACUGCUACAGAAAAGCAAAGGCAUCUGAGAGAAAUGGCCAGAGAGCCAGAGGAAUGCCAGAGACAGAAAUUUCUGGAGGACUCUGUGACUCAUGAGACCUGUGACUGCUAAUAAGGGGUGGGGUGUACUGACUUGGAGUUAUUGAGGAAGCUAUCUGUGGGUCUCUGGAUUUUCUCAGGCUUUGAAGGAGUCCAGGUCCCCAGCAGUCAGGGCUGGCAGAAAUCAGCAGGAAGGCCGAUCUCUAAAAACACUAGCAGGGUCCUCAAGGGGCCAGGUGGCAGACAGAUGAGAGGGUAAGAAACUUUACUUGUCUUUUUGUUCUGUCUUCAAGCUUAUGGCCAGUUUUCUUGUAUAAUUUUUUCUCCUACAUAAUAAAUCCGUUUGUUGUUUGUCUCCUUA